GUUUGAUCCUGGCUCAGGAUGAACGCUGGCGGCGUGCCUAAUACAUGCAAGUAGAACGCUGAAGCUUGGUGCUUGCACCGAGCGGAUGAGUUGCGAACGGGUGAGUAACGCGUAGGUAACCUGCCUGGUAGCGGGGGAUAACUAUUGGAAACGAUAGCUAAUACCGCAUAACAGUCGACAUUGCAUGAUGUUGAUUUGAAAGGGGCAAUUGCUCCACUACCAGAUGGACCCGCGGUGCAUUAGCUAGUUGGUGAGGUAACGGCUCACCAAGGCCGUGAUGCAUAGCCGACCUGAGAGGGUGAUCGGCCACAUUGGGACUGAGACACGGCCCAAACUCCUACGGGAGGCAGCAGUAGGGAAUCUUCCGCAAUGGACGCAAGUCUGACGGAGCAACGCCGCGUGAGUGAAGAAGGUUUUCGGAUCGUAAAACUCUGUUGUUAGAGAAGAACAAGUGCUAGAGUAACUGUUAGCGCCUUGACGGUAUCUAACCAGAAAGCCACGGCUAACUACGUGCCAGCAGCCGCGGUAAUACGUAGGUGGCAAGCGUUGUCCGGAUUUAUUGGGCGUAAAGCGAGCGCAGGCGGUUCCUUAAGUCUGAUGUGAAAGCCCCCGGCUCAACCGGGGAGGGUCAUUGGAAACUGGGGAACUUGAGUGCAGAAGAGGAGAGUGGAAUUCCAUGUGUAGCGGUGAAAUGCGUAGAUAUAUGGAGGAACACCAGUGGCGACGCGACUCUCUGGUCUGUAACUGACGCUGAGGCUCGAAAGCGUGGGUAGCAAACAGGAUUAGAUACCCUGGUAGUCCACGCCGUAACGAUGAGUGCUAAGUGUUGGAGGGUUUCCGCCCUUCAGUGCUGCAGUUAACGCAUUAAGCACUCCGCCUGGGGAGUACGACCGCAAGUUGAAACUCAAAGGAUUGAUGAUCACUAGUGCGACGCUGCAG
This 939-nucleotide ribosomal RNA is filed under the name uncultured bacterium. RNAcentral describes it as "bacterial SSU rRNA". It matches the Rfam family "Bacterial small subunit ribosomal RNA", at positions 11 to 937 of the family's 1533-position model. The record is from RNAcentral.